This 492-nucleotide ribosomal RNA is filed under the name uncultured bacterium. RNAcentral's name for it is "partial 16S ribosomal RNA". It matches the Rfam family "Bacterial small subunit ribosomal RNA", at positions 28 to 507 of the family's 1533-position model. The record is from RNAcentral.
GAUGAACGCUAGCUACAGGCUUAACACAUGCAAGUCGAGGGGAAACGACAUCGAAAGCUUGCUUUUGAUGGGCGUCGACCGGCGCACGGGUGAGUAACGCGUAUCCAACCUGCCCAUCACUUGGGAAUAACCUUGCGAAAGUAAGACUAAUACCCAAUGAUAUCCCACGAAGGCAUCGGAAUGGGAUUCAAGAUUUAUCGGUGAUGGAUGGGGAUGCGUCUGAUUAGCUUGUUGGCGGGGUAACGGCCCACCAAGGCAACGAUCAGUAGGGGUUCUGAGAGGAAGGUCGCCCACAUUGGAACUGGGACACGGUCCAAAGUACUACGGGAGGCAGCAGUGAGGAAUAUUGGUCAAUGGGCGAGAGCCUGAACCAGCCAAGUAGCGUGCAGGAAGACGGCCCUAUGGGUUGUAAACUGCUUUUAUAAGGGAAUAAAGUGGGUCACGUGUGACUUUUUGCAUGUACCUUAUGAAUAAGGACCGGCUAAUUCCGUG